Molecule: long non-coding RNA, 884 nt
Organism: Heterocephalus glaber (naked mole-rat)
Lineage: Eukaryota; Metazoa; Chordata; Mammalia; Rodentia; Bathyergidae
Source: Ensembl
GACAUGUUGUGAAAAAGGGCUCUAAAAAUUGGAUUUUUAAUGACAAAGGAAAAGGGCAAAGUAAGAAAAGUCAGUAGGAAAAGCAUUUGCAGGGAGAAAGUUUUGUGUAGUAGUCCCAGAAGGGCACUUGCUCAGCUUUUUUGAUGCUCAGAAACACUGGGUCGGUGAGGAAAGCCAGUCAUUUGAGUUGCUUUAUAUAUCACCAUCUCGUUGUAGAUGGUUGAGGCCGGUGUGGCAGAAAAAUACAGAACAUCAGAAUGUCCAGCAGAAUAUCGGUCCCACGAGGGUGUUCAGGCUCUAAUUGGCAGAACCUGUGAAUAUGUUGCCUGAUGUAGAAGAGACUGUACAGGUGUGGUUAGUUAAAAAACCCUGAGCAGGAGAAGUACCUUGAAUUAUUCAGGUGGGCCCAAUCUAGUCAUCAGUGACUUUAUAAAGUGAAAGGAGGUAGGCAGAGCGUCUGAGUGAGAGGGAGAUUUGAAGAUGCGGCCCUCUGGUUUUGAAGAUGGAAGAGAGUUGUGAGUUAACCACACAGGCCAUCUCUGGAAGACAGACAAGAGGAGAAAUCAAGUUUUCCCUCAGACUUUCUAGAAGGAAUAGAGCCUGGCUGAGGCUGGAUAUUUUGCCGUGAAAGAAUGGAUACGGAAGGCAGAAACAUGGAUGCAAGGCUCAUGGUGAUGGACACAGGUGGAGAGAGAAAGGCUGGUUUCACACAGGGAAAUUUUGGGAUUUAGGAGGGCAAAGCUGGAGUAGUUGUGUGAAAAAAUGAAUAAUAGAAGAAAGCUGUAAUCCCAGCACCCAGGAGGCUGAGGUAGGAGGACCUUGAGCUCAAGGCUAACCUGAGUUACAUAAUAAGUUCAAGCCCAGCCUGGACUAUGUAGCAAGAC